GUAAAAAAUGGGGUGUUAAUAUUUCAGAGUAAAGUUAUUUUAACCCAGAUAGAGUAUUUUCAACAUUUUUGAGAGUAAAGUUGCUCUAUCAGUGGAGUUAAAAGUGAGUGUAAAAAUCUGCAGAUACGCAGUGACAAUUUCAACUCUACAGCAGUGAUGAAUACCCGCCACUCUGCUUUGCUGAAGUUUGGCACGUACGUUGGUGGAGGAAGAUUGCGAAGGAGUAGCUAGGCCACAGAUAUUGCUAGAGGCAAAAUGCUGUUGCGUGUUCAGCUCGGGGAAGAGCAGAAAUACGUCAAGCUGUCUGAGCUGACAUUCAAUGCUUUCUUGAAAGAAGUGUGUCUAAAAUUCAACAUACCAGAAAGCAGAAAGCCAGACAUUAAGGUGUAUGACCAGUCUGACACAGAAGUUGACUCAGAUGUUUUUGAAGAAUUAGUAAAGGAGUCACCUGGAACUUUCAGAAUCAUGCUGGGCAAUGGACUUGAUACCUCUCAUUCAUCAUCAUGCUCGGGUACAUCUGAUGACACCAUCAUUCUGAAUUUCACUGUGUGUGACGAUGUUGAAGAAGUAGCGGCUGGCGAAGGAAGCCAG
Molecule: long non-coding RNA, 591 nt
Organism: Coregonus clupeaformis (lake whitefish)
Lineage: Eukaryota; Metazoa; Chordata; Actinopteri; Salmoniformes; Salmonidae
Exons: 4
Source: RefSeq, a predicted model, not a curated record